Molecule: long non-coding RNA, 326 nt
Organism: Gasterosteus aculeatus aculeatus (three-spined stickleback)
Lineage: Eukaryota; Metazoa; Chordata; Actinopteri; Perciformes; Gasterosteidae
Source: Ensembl
CUCUCGCUCUGUUUAUCUCAAUAAACAUAUUUUCUCCGAGUUCUUUCUGUUUAUGAAUCUCAAUCUUUGUGGUUUCCAGUUCGAAUUGCUCCCUCUUUAUAUCUUGUUGCUCUUGUUCUAAUAUUUCUUUCUGUUUAUGAAUCUCCAUCUUUGUGGUUUCCAGUUCGAUUUGCUCCCUCUUUAUAUCUUGUUGCUCUUGUUCUAAUAUGUCUCUUUGUUUCAGAAUGUCACACUUCAUCAGCUCCAAGUCCAGUUUUUCUGUCUUCAUUUUCUCACUCUCUCUGUCGAGGUCAUUUCUUUCUUGCCUUAAUUCUGCCUUCAGUUUG